Molecule: long non-coding RNA, 1017 nt
Organism: Magallana angulata
Lineage: Eukaryota; Metazoa; Mollusca; Bivalvia; Ostreida; Ostreidae
Exons: 3
Source: RefSeq, a predicted model, not a curated record
UGCAACAUCCACAGACUUUGAUGAUCUCUGGGAACAGAUCGAUGAACAAGUUCCUCCCUCUUCAAGGGAACAACUUUUUAAAGAAGGGUUUAUUUAUUUUUACGAUGAUUAUUGAUUUAUAAGUAUAAAUUUAAAAGUUUUAUAAUUACGCCAUCAUUGUAUUUCCGUAAUUAAGAAAAGUCCGUGACUCAGAUGUUGAUAUAUGCAUUUUAAAUCUGUAUAUAUUAAGGUAGGUUAUUUAAUUUGGUCAAUUUCUUUAAAAGGCCUCCUUGUCUUGAAAGUCCAACUCCCAAAUCUGAAGCUAAGACGGAGGAGACUUCCGUAUUAAGAACUCUGCUUAACAAUACACAACAAGCUAGCGAAAUAAAAAUUAAAAAGGACAGAGAAGUGAAAACAGAAAUACCUUUCAAAAGAUACACAUCCAGUAGCCCCAGUAGUACCACUACCACUAGUUGUACAUACUCCCCGCCUCUGGAUGAGAACUGGCCACCCGCCAGUUCUGCACCAUUUACCAACGUUGAGGAUUCUAUCCUGACGACUUUCAGGAGAAAGAGUCCAAAGAAAUACGAAGCUCUUAACCGGAGGUUUACAGAGCCACGGGUCACUGCCACGCGGGAAUUUAAAGUUUUAAAGGCUCUACAGAAGAGAAUAAUGCAGGACAUGGAACAAAGUGAGAUAAUAGUUAAUUAUCUCACCGAUAAAUAUGGCGCAGAUGAACCAGAGAAGAAGCGGGCUAAGUUUAUUUCCCUUCGAUAAGCCCAAUCGCUUGCGACAUGAAAAAAACAAUUAUCAAUUUUUAUACAGUGAAACAUAUAAAAUUACUAUUCGAAGUUUAAAUGGAUCUCCAGAAACGAAUGUUUCUGGAUAUAGAACAGCUUGAAAUAAUAAUCAGGAGAUCUCACCGGCAAGUAUGGAUAUGAGAUCGAAAAGUGUUUAUAUAAGUAUGAAACUUGUUGUAAAUAUUGCUUGUGAAAUGAACAAAAAGGUAUUGACCUUUAUUUUAUAUGUACUUAAAGU